GCAACUCGCCUGCAUGAAGUUGGAAUUGCUAGUAAUCGCGAAUCAGAAUGUCGCGGUGAAUACGUUCCCGGGCCUUGUACACACCGCCCGUCACACCAUGAGAGUCGAUAACACCCGAAGCCUGUGAGCUAACCGUAAGGAGGCAGCAGUCGAAGGUGGGGGUUGAUGAUUGGGGUGAAGUCGUAACAAGGUAAC
RNAcentral lists this ribosomal RNA (195 nucleotides) under uncultured bacterium. RNAcentral's name for it is "partial 16S ribosomal RNA". It matches the Rfam family "Bacterial small subunit ribosomal RNA", at positions 1307 to 1500 of the family's 1533-position model. The record is from RNAcentral.